This 325-nucleotide ribosomal RNA is filed under the name uncultured eukaryote. RNAcentral describes it as "partial 18S ribosomal RNA". It matches the Rfam family "Eukaryotic small subunit ribosomal RNA", at positions 1470 to 1796 of the family's 1831-position model. The record is from RNAcentral.
CCCUUAGAUGUUCUGGGCUGCACGCGCGCUACACUGAUGCGUUCAUCGAGUAUAUAACCUUGCCUGGAAAGGUUGGGUAAUCUUCUCAAAACGCAUCGUGAUGGGGAUAGAUUAUUGCAAUUAUUAAUCUUCAACGAGGAAUUCCUAGUAAGCGCGAGUCAUCAGCUCGUGCUGAUUACGUCCCUGCCCUUUGUACACACCGCCCGUCGCUCCUACCGAUUGAGUGAUUCGGUGAAUAAUUCGGACUGCCGCGGCUUUCAGUAAUGGGAGCUGCAGCGGGAAGUCUAGUAAACCUCAUCACUUAGAGGAAGGAGAANUCGUANCA